GUUGCUGCCUUUGGACUCACAUCUUCUGAACUUUGAUCAUCAUCAGAAAGGGAGGCAUUGCUACAAAAGUAUGAGUGAGGCACUUCUUUGGGAACUGUGAUGAUGCUGUAAAGUAGCAACAACAAGCAUAGCUGACACCUGCAAAGAUUUCUGCUCCUCUAUCAGUUGCAUGAAGAUGACUGGUUCCUUCAACUCCGAAGCUGGAAAUGUCUGAUUUCUUAGACACAAAGCUACAGGCUAAAGCCCGCAAAGCCCAGAGGAGUAUUUUAGAAUGAACACUGGAAACAAAAUGCAUAUAGCCCAAUAGCACUGAGAUGCAAGGAGCAGAUACGAGCCUACGAAACAGUUCCAAAGCAAUUUGAAAGUUCCAGUCAUUCACGUGUUUGCAAUACAAGUUUUAGGAAGAUACCAGCUGGGUGCUCUAGGAACAAGCUGUCUUAGUAACUCUGGUCCCUUCAGAAGCACAGCAAGCAGCCCGACUCACUGAAGAAAUCAGGAGCCAUUUAAAUUUCUCAGGUAGAGUGCUGAUGUUGU
This is a long non-coding RNA of Talpa occidentalis (Iberian mole), 534 nucleotides long. RefSeq lists it as uncharacterized. The transcript has 5 exons. The record is from RefSeq and is a predicted model, not a curated record. NCBI's taxonomy places the organism in Eukaryota, Metazoa, Chordata, Mammalia, Eulipotyphla, Talpidae.